Molecule: ribosomal RNA, 522 nt
Filed under: Triticum aestivum (bread wheat)
Lineage: Eukaryota; Viridiplantae; Streptophyta; Magnoliopsida; Poales; Poaceae
Description: partial small subunit ribosomal RNA
Source: RNAcentral
AUGAACAAUGAACUAAAGAGGUACAUUAGUGUUAAAUAUGACAUGCUUACUUUCUUUGAGCAUUUUGAACGGCUAGUUUCAGAUAAAAGAUGUGAAGAGGUGAAGUAUGACUUUAAAGCAACACAAACUACUCCAAAGUUGAAGGCUGAAUCAAGCCAUAUGCUAACACAAGCUGCAGCUACAUAUACUCCAGCAAUAUUCAAGAUGUUUCAAUAUCAAGUGCUUCGGACUCUGAACUACGACACAUUGCUUUGUGAUGAAAGUGACACAGAGUUGAGGAUUUAUAUAGUAAAAUUUCAUGGCACACAACGAGAGCAUGUUGUUAGAUUCAUUCCAAAAGAAGAAAAGGUUAGUUGCAGCUGCAAAAGGUUCGAGUUUUCUGAAAUCCUUUGCUCUCAUUGCUUAAAGGUACUUGAUAUUAAUAAUAUCAAGCAUAUCCCUGGAGAAUAUAUCUUGAAAAGAUGGACAAUUGAUGCCAAAGUUCUAGAUAUAACAAGCAAAUGCAACCGCAUGAGAACCUAA